This 317-nucleotide transfer-messenger RNA is filed under the name Methylococcaceae bacterium. RNAcentral's name for it is "partial transfer-messenger RNA". It matches the Rfam family "transfer-messenger RNA", at positions 1 to 309 of the family's 374-position model. Rfam says of the family: Bacterial tmRNA, also known as 10Sa RNA or SsrA, is named for its dual tRNA and mRNA-like properties. The record is from RNAcentral. Lineage: Bacteria; Pseudomonadati; Pseudomonadota; Gammaproteobacteria; Methylococcales; Methylococcaceae.
GGGGGCGACAUGGCUUCGACGUGGGUAGCGAAACUUUAAGUGCAUGCCGAGGACUGUACACCUCUUAAAUCCUACAGAAAAAAAGUAUUCGCAAAUGACGAAAACUACUCAAUGGCGUUAGCUGCUUAAACACAGCUCCCAUUCCUUUGACCAUCUGUGCUUAUGCGGGUGGAGUUCGGUUCGCUGGACGCUCAGAGGUCAUAUUACAUAAGAUCGUGCUGAAGCCUGUCCGGAGCGGAUGCCCUAAAACCUUACGGAAUCGCUGAUGAUUUUCUUGGCCCAACGGGUAGUCAUCGGCUAAAUCAAAAGUGUGGGAU